GCCUGCCCAUUGGGAUCUAAAAGGCCGCGGUAUUAUGACCGUGCUAAGGUAGCAUAAUCAUUAGUCUUUUAAUUGAAGGCUGGUAUGAAUGGUUGGACAAGAAAUAAGCUGUCUUAAAUGAAAAUAUUGAAUUUAACUUUUAAGUGAAAAGGCUUAAAUUUUCUAAAGGGACGAUAAGACCCUAUAAAACUUUAUAUUUUAAAAUAAUAAUUAAUUUUAUAUAGGAGAUUUAUUUUUAAAUAUUUUAUUGGGGUGAUAAAGAUAAAAUAUAAGAUAACUGUCUUUUUUUUUUUUACAAAUAAUAUUUGAAUAGAGGAUCUUAAUAAAGGAAGUAAAAGAUUAAGUUACUUUAGGGAUAACAGCGUAAUUUUCUUUAAGAGUUCUUAUCGACAAGAAAGUUUGCGACCUCGAUGUUGAAUUAAAAGUUCUUUAUAGAGUAGAUACUAUAAUAGAGGGUCUGUUCGACCCUUAAAAUUUUACGUG
RNAcentral lists this ribosomal RNA (483 nucleotides) under Pontastacus leptodactylus (narrow-clawed crayfish). RNAcentral describes it as "Astacus leptodactylus (narrow-clawed crayfish) partial large subunit ribosomal RNA". It matches the Rfam family "Bacterial large subunit ribosomal RNA", at positions 1857 to 2602 of the family's 2925-position model. Lineage: Eukaryota; Metazoa; Arthropoda; Malacostraca; Decapoda; Astacidae. The record is from RNAcentral.